RNAcentral lists this long non-coding RNA (853 nucleotides) under Rattus norvegicus (Norway rat). Its description in RNAcentral is "long non-coding RNA NONRATT032939". The record is from RNAcentral. Lineage: Eukaryota; Metazoa; Chordata; Mammalia; Rodentia; Muridae.
UAUAUCCCUCAAAGUUUCUAUACUCAAAUGGACUAGAAAACAAAACAAAAGAUACUAUCUUAGUUCAUUGUCUGUAAUUGUAACCACAUGACACAGCCUGGGUAAUUUCUUAAAGAAAAUAGAUUUGUUGGGUUCUACUGUGGAGACUGGAAGUUUCAAGAACACAGCAACAGUGUCUGACUAGGGCCCUCUUGCUACAUCGUAGCAUGACCAGGGCAUCACUAGGGAGACAGAGCAGAUGUGAUAACGAGCUUUCUCUACUUGUCCUUAUAAAGCCACUGUGCCGUCCUGGGGAUUCUGUCCAUGGUCGUAUCUAAACUCAAGGUCCUGGGCAGGUAAUGAAGACAGUGAGCAAAAUCUCUGCCUCUUAGCGCACAGCAGUAGAUGUUUCAUUGCUUUGAAUGGAAGAAAUCUUGCUCCAUCAACCACAGAGAGGCUGGCCCACGACAAGCAGGAGAAGUGGAUCCCACCUCUCUCCCUGUGUCCUCCCUUGAAAAGUACCAUUGCACCUGAGGAAGAAGGGAAAGAGCCUACUGAGUGCUGCGAGGGGAGCUCAGGCUGAAGUCAGGACCUGGUGAGCACAGGGUCACUGGCCACACAGGGGAGGAGCGGGCGACUGAGCAGUGGUGGGUGGAGUGGUAGGGCCUCCCUGGGGCUGGUCCGGGAGACAGAUAGUUAGGCUAUUGGUGGACCGGGCACAAGUGCUACAAUCUCUGCAGAUCUGGAAAAGAUCCGGUCCUGGACUGGAAGCCCAGGCCAAGAACCUCUACUGAGUCCCUUAUGCACGCUCUAAUCCUAAGGAAGGUGCUCGUGCCAUUCAAGACUCACUGGCCAAUCAAAGCCUCUAUUCGUG